Molecule: non-coding RNA, 185 nt
Filed under: Bacillota bacterium
Lineage: Bacteria; Bacillati; Bacillota
Also listed under: 1 other name
Description: Firmicutes bacterium (anaerobic digester metagenome) 6S RNA
Rfam family: 6S / SsrS RNA
About the family: E. coli 6S RNA was the first non coding RNA to be sequenced, but its function was unknown until recently. It consists of 184 nucleotides that fold into an extended hairpin structure with a large single-stranded internal bulge. The 6S RNA specifically associates with RNA polymerase holoenzyme containing the sigma70 specificity factor.
Source: RNAcentral
GAAACCCUGCUGUGUUCGCGGUCAAACUGGCUUUGUUAUGAGCCAACACCAUAACAAAGGGAUCCUGAUCUCUGGCUGUGGCAACCAGGCCUCCGCUGAGUGGACGGUUAAAACAGUUAGGAGGGAACCCACCUGCAGAGAGCAGGUUCAUUCGAGCCAGCUUCCAGCGACACGGCGGGGACGCG